AGGUUGCUUCGGUAACUGACCUAGCGGCGGACGGGUGAGUAAUGCUUAGGAAUCUGCCUAUUAGUGGGGGACAACAUUCCGAAAGGAAUGCUAAUACCGCAUACGUCCUACGGGGGAAAGCAGGGGAUCUUCGGACCUUGCGCUAAUAGAUGAGCCUAAGUCGGAUUAGCUAGUUGGUGGGGUAAAGGCCUACCAAGGCGACGAUCUGUAGCGGGUCUGAGAGGAUGAUCCGCCACACUGGGACUGAGACACGGCCCAGACUCCUACGGGAGGCAGCAGUGGGGAAUAUUGGACAAUGGGCGGAAGCCUGAUCCAGCCAUGCCGCGUGUGUGAAGAAGGCCUUUUGGUUGUAAAGCACUUUAAGCGAGGAGGAGGCUCCUUUAGUUAAUACCUAAAGUGAGUGGACGUUACUCGCAGAAUAAGCACCGGCUAACUCUGUGCCAGCAGCCGCGGUAAUACAGAGGGUGCGAGCGUUAAUCGGAUUUACUGGGCGUAAAGCGUGCGUAGGCGGCUUUUUAAGUCGGAUGUGAAAUCCCUGAGCUUAACUUAGGAAUUGCAUUCGAUACUGGAAAGCUAGAGUAUGGGAGAGGAUGGUAGAAUUCCAGGUGUAGCGGUGAAAUGCGUAGAGAUCUGGAGGAAUACCGAUGGCGAAGGCAGCCAUCUGGCCUAAUACUGACGCUGAGGUACGAAAGCAUGGGGAGCAAACAGGAUUAGAUACCCUGGUAGUCCAUGCCGUAAACGAUGUCUACUAGCCGUUGGGGCCUUUGAGGCUUUAGUGGCGCAGCU
RNAcentral lists this ribosomal RNA (786 nucleotides) under uncultured bacterium. RNAcentral describes it as "SSU rRNA". It matches the Rfam family "Bacterial small subunit ribosomal RNA", at positions 72 to 853 of the family's 1533-position model. The record is from RNAcentral.